Molecule: ribosomal RNA, 555 nt
Filed under: uncultured bacterium
Lineage: Bacteria
Description: bacterial SSU rRNA
Rfam family: Bacterial small subunit ribosomal RNA
Source: RNAcentral
AGAGUUUGAUCCUGGCUCAGGAUGAACGCUAGCGACAGGCUUAACACAUGCAAGUCGAGGGGCAGCGGGGGAGUAGCAAUACUCCCGCCGGCGACCGGCGCACGGGUGAGUAACACGUAUGAAACCUGCCCGUAGCAGGGGGAUAAGCGGAAGAAAUUCCGUCUAAUACCGCGUAACAACCCGAGGAGGCAUCUCCUCGGGUUUAAAGGGAGCGAUUCCGGCUACGGAUGGUCAUGCGUCGCAUUAGCUUGUUGGCGGGGUAACGGCCCACCAAGGCGACGAUGCGUAGGGGUUCUGAGAGGAAGGUCCCCCACACUGGUACUGAGACACGGACCAGACUCCUACGGGAGGCAGCAGUGAGGAAUAUUGGUCAAUGGCCGCAGGGCUGAACCAGCCAAGUCGCGUGAGGGAUGACGGUCCUAUGGAUUGUAAACCUCUUUUGUCAGGGAGCAAAGGGCGCCACGUGUGGCGUUUUGCGAGUACCUGAAGAAAAAGCAUCGGCUAACUCCGUGCCAGCAGCCGCGGUAAUACGGAGGAUGCGAGCGUUAUCCGGAU